RNAcentral lists this ribosomal RNA (460 nucleotides) under uncultured bacterium. RNAcentral's name for it is "partial 16S ribosomal RNA". It matches the Rfam family "Bacterial small subunit ribosomal RNA", at positions 338 to 795 of the family's 1533-position model. The record is from RNAcentral.
CCUACGGGUGGCAGCAGUGAGGAAUAUUGGUCAAUGGACGCAAGUCUGAACCAGCCAUGCCGCGUGCAGGAAGACGGCUCUAUGAGUUGUAAACUGCUUUUGUACGAGGGUAAACGCAGAUACGUGUAUCUUUCUGUAAGUAUCUUACGAAUAAGGAUCGGCUAACUCCGUGCCAGCAGCCGCGGUAAUACGGAGGAUUCAAGCGUUAUCCGGAUUUAUUGGGUUUAAAGGGUGCGUAGGCGGUCGGAUAAGUUAGGGGUGAAAUGAGGAGGCUCAACUUCGGAAUUGCAUUUGAUACUGGUCGGCUAGAGAGUAGUUGCGGUAGGCGGAAUGCAUGGUGUAGCGGUGAAAUGCUUAGAGAUCAUACAGAACACCGAUUGCGAAGGCAGCUUACCAAGCUACUACUGACGUUGAGGCACGAAAGCGUGGGGAGCAAACAGGAUUAGAUACCCCAGUAGUC